AAGGGCACCACAAGAACGCGUGGAGCAUGUGGCUUAAUUUGACUCAACGCGGGAAAUCUUACCGGGUCCGGACACACUGAGGAUUGACAGGUGGUUUACACACAUUUAUUAUUAAUGUGUGUAUAUAAAUAUGCUAGUUCUUUCAUGAUUAUGUGAUAGGUGGUGCAUGGCCGUUCUUAGUUCGUGGAGUGAUCUGUCUGCUUAAUUGCGUAUCACUAAACGUGUAAUUAUACAUAUGUAAUAUGCAGUGUCUAUAUACAUUUUUUUAAUGUAUAAUGACCUCAUAUUUACAUAUUAUACACGUUGAUAGCAACGAACGUGACCGUAACCUCUUGUUGCCUGGCUCGAAGACUCGUCUCAGUGUGUGAAUUAUUAUUCACAUCACUGUGGAGACCAGAUGCAAACUAGAGGGACCGCUGUAUUCUUUCUUAAACCAGGGGAAGGUUACGGCAAUAACAGGUCUGUGAUGCCCUUAGAUGUUCCGGGUCGCACACGUGCUACAAUGAUUAUUGCAGUGAGCAUCUCGAUCUGACAAAUUGUGUGUAUGCGUUACGUAUAUUUUAUAUAUAUGCACUGUCUAACACACAAUACUGCCUGCUUCGAAAGUUUGCGGGUAAUCAAUUAACAACAAUGAUUUCCAUUUAUAUAGCACACAUAUAUGUGAUUAUGUUAUCCACACAGUCCUUUGUGUCUGUGUCGUGCAUAACAUAAUUUUUCACAUGUGCAAUUGUCAAUUCAUGGUGGGGACAGACUAUUGUUAAUUAUUAGUCUCGGUCUUAACUAGGAAUCCUUGUACUGGUUUAGUUCAUCAGACUACCAGGAAUACGUCCCUGCCCUUUGUACACACCGCCCGUCGCUCUUACCGAUGAACUAUACUGUGAGUAUAUUGGACUGUGUUUCUCGCGGAAAAAUACACGAACAGUGUGGUUUAAAGGAAAGAGAAGUCGAACAAGGC
RNAcentral lists this ribosomal RNA (955 nucleotides) under Zaninettia conica. RNAcentral's name for it is "bacterial SSU rRNA". It matches the Rfam family "Eukaryotic small subunit ribosomal RNA", at positions 1160 to 1800 of the family's 1831-position model. The record is from RNAcentral. Lineage: Eukaryota; Foraminifera; Lituolida; Remaneicidae.